UACGAUUGGUCCUCCCGCUCUCAUUACUGCUGCAUUUGUAGAUGUUCCAUUGGCUGUGACGGUUCUCUGGUGAUACUCCCUGAAAAGAAAAUAUCUGUUUACUGAUACCAAAUUAUUAAGGAUUGGCCAAUAGGACUAAGCAGUAUCGAGACCAGUGGCAAGAGGUGAUGACCCAGUGACGGGUAAGAAUCUCCAAUGGCAAAAAGGGGGGGCAACCUAAGGCAGGGCAUCACCACCCUGGAAACCUGCCCAAGAAGGUUUGAUAUGGGUUUAAGGAAGUGGAUGAAUGCUCUUAGGUCAGAAGCAUCAAAAGGGAGGUCUAGAAGAGACCUGCCCGAAAAUUGUGAGUUCCACUCAACCCGACUGCAUUUUAAUAACCAGUUUACUAAAACAACUUAUCACAGUGUUAAAUACCAAGCAUUCUGUCACUUUGCCAUCAGGGGAUCAUACCCUGUGUAGAAGAUUAUUUAUAGAUUGGUUUUGGGGGGUAAAGUUUUGAGAACUGUUGCAGACAAAGGAGUGCCUGACUUAUUAACAAGUAUUAAACAAACCUGGGAAUGCUUGUAUGAUGAAUAAUUAAGAUUGGAAGAUGAUUUAUUUCUUUUACUUAUGCUUUUAUUGAACUCAUGUACAUUUUAAUAGUAAUGAAGAAUGGAAAAAAGAAGAAAACAUGGUGGUGACUAAAGAUUAAGUUUGCUUGUCUUGUUUGUUUAUAACAACAUAAAUAGAAUUGUUUAAGAAAUGGGGGCAUGGUUGGAAAUUGGUUUGACAAACUAUUUGGAUCCUGGGAAGAAUGGCUUACUAAAGUGGGAGUAAUAAUAGACAUAGCUGUUGUUAUUUUUGUGUUGUUGUUUUGUUGUGUUGUGCCUCUCCUCAGAUAAAUGCUGGCCAGUGCUGCAGCCAAAUAUAUGAUCAAUGUGUCUGUAAAGCCAUCUGAAAUUGAUAUUGGGGCCACCAUAUGUACCAUAGGCCCUGGACUGGAUGAGCUGCACAAAUUCUAGUAAAACCCUGGAAUUACACAUGAGUGGUAGGGAAGGGGAGCCUUUUAUUUUUUAUUCUUUAUUUUAGAUUUUCUACUGUUUUUGGAUAACAAGGGAGUCAGCAUACUCAUUGUAUUUUAUUUUAUAACAAAAUUAGGUAGAACUUUAGAUUGGAUAGAGUAGGCAGAAGAUAGAGGGUGUUAUGUUUAUUAUUUUGGCAUAUGCCCCUUUCUGAAGUCAUUUAUCCUUUUCUUUUAAACAUUCAAUUUAUGAUGUUCGUUGUUUAAUCAAGUUAUGUACUCCUUGAAUAUCAUCUAUUGUUUGAAUCAUCUCUGAAGGUACUAUUAACCAAGAAAAUUAUUUUAAAUGAAAUAUAGUAUGCAUGUUUGAUCUUUAAAAACACUGAAAGUACCACUGGAGGGCCAGACGAUAAGACACCACAAAAUGAAGAAAGGCUGGAGGAGCACCUCAGUGCUUAGCAGUAAGAGCAAGAUUCUACUGGUGGUUUAAAAAUCCGCUGUCUGCUCCAACACCACCAGAUAGCACUCCAGGCUACCGGAAAUGUCUGUGAGUUCCUCUGGCACCGUGGGACGUUUCAUAUGCUGAGUAAUUUGCUGAUAUUUAUUAAUCACUGAAGUAUGUUAACCUACUGAAAUAAGUCUAAUCACUGAUGUACUCUAUAUCAUGCAAGGCUAAAUCUGCAUGCACAUGCUUUUAUACAAGAAGUUGAUUUGUUUUUGAUUGAUGUCACCCCCUAGAAAGAACUUAGUUAGGGAGAUGAGAUCUUUUACUCCCUCCCAGCCAAAUAUGGGGGAGAUGUUUGGUCUUAUUUCUCCUCCGGAGUGCAGUUCCAUAAGAGCAGUCAUUUUUACAUUGGUCACUUGAUAGAAAUGAAGGAGACUAACUUGUGAGGUUACACUCUGGGUAAGGACAAUAGAGGUGAGACUUUUAAUAAGUCUCAAAGGAGGGAAUAUAUAUAGUAUAUUUUUAUAUAUCAAACAUAGAAAAAGUACUUAAUCAUUCAGUUAAUAAUUGAAUUAAUAUAUAUGCAAUAUGCAGUGAUCUAAAAUGACAGUGUAAUCAAUGUACUAUGAAUAACUGCAUUAUUAAUGUUAUUCAAUAUGUUACAUAUUUAAUCAUUCUUUUAUUGAUUUAAUACUCUGAUUUACUCUGAUGCAGUUUGAAACUAUGGAAAACAGCUUAGCUUGCGGUCUCUCUCUGUGUAAGGCCUUUCUGGGUCAAUGGAAAAUGAGUUGAUGUGAUACAGACAGUGACAGACGUUGGGAAACAGGAGAAGGGAUGCAGGUGUCAAGCAAAUGAGUAGGGAGUUUUCUAUUAAACUUUGUAUGACCCAAAGGGAGGUGCGCAUGGGGAUAUUAAAAGGAAAAUUGUGCUGGUGCUGAUAACGCCAAGGUCGCCAAAAAAGGCAUUGAGAUGAAACAGCAAGGUGACCAGCUGGAAGGGAGUUGGUGAUGAUGAAACUUGGGGGGGUAUAAGAUGAUUUUAUUGGAUCAAGAGCCAUUACUCAAAGAGAGAGGGUGGAACAGAAGCUGUAUAAAAGGAUGCAUGAUUCUGAAGUGUAAUUUCAGAUGCUAGGUAAUCAACUGGCAUCUCGGAUUUGUUCAAUAAAGUCUAAUCUUUGAUAUCUGGAA
This is a long non-coding RNA of Myxocyprinus asiaticus (Chinese sucker), 2632 nucleotides long. RefSeq lists it as uncharacterized. The record is from RefSeq and is a predicted model, not a curated record. NCBI's taxonomy places the organism in Eukaryota, Metazoa, Chordata, Actinopteri, Cypriniformes, Catostomidae. The transcript has 2 exons.